AGUGAACGCUGGCGGUAGGCCUAACACAUGCAAGUCGAACGGCAGCACAGUAAUAGCUUGCUCUUACGGGUGGCGAGUGGCGGACGUGUGAGGAAUACAUCGGAAUCUACUUUUUCGUGGGGGAUAACGUAGGGAAACUUACGCUAAUACCGCAUACGCCCUACGGGUGAAAGCAGGGGAUCUUCGGACCUUGCGCGAUUGAAUGAGCCGAUGUCGGAUUAGCUAGUUGGCGGGGUAAAUGCCCACCAAGGCGACGAUCCGUAGCUGGUCUGAGAGGAUGGUCAGCCACACUGGAAGUGAGACACGGUCCAGACUCCUAAGGGAGGCAGCAGUGGGGAAUAUUGGACAAUGGGCGCAAGCCUGAUCCAGCCAUACCGCGUGGGUGAAGAAGGCCUUCGGGUUGUAAAGCCCUUUUGUUGGUAAAGAAAAGCAGCAGGUUAAUACCCCGCUGUUCUGACGGUACCCAAAGAAUAAGCACCGGCUAACUUCGUG
This 492-nucleotide ribosomal RNA is filed under the name uncultured bacterium. RNAcentral's name for it is "partial 16S ribosomal RNA". It matches the Rfam family "Bacterial small subunit ribosomal RNA", at positions 29 to 507 of the family's 1533-position model. The record is from RNAcentral.